GAUGAACGCUGGCGGCGUGCCUAAUACAUGCAAGUCGAGCGAACGGACGAGAAGCUUGCUUCUCUGAUGUUAGCGGCGGACGGGUGAGUAACACGUGGAUAACCUACCUAUAAGACUGGGAUAACUUCGGGAAACCGUAGCUAAUACCGGAUCCUCUUUUGAACCGCAUGGUUCAAAAGUGAAAGACGGUCUUGCUGUCACUUAUAGAUGGAUCCGCGCUGCAUUAGCUAGUUGGUAAGGUAACGGCUUACCAAGGCAACGAUGCAUAGCCGACCUGAGAGGGUGAUCGGCCACACUGGAACUGAGACACGGUCCAGACUCCUACGGGAGGCAGCAGUAGGGAAUCUUCCGCAAUGGGCGAAAGCCUGACGGAGCAACGCCGCGUGAGUGAUGAAGGUCUUCGGAUCGUAAAACUCUGUUAUUAGGGAAGAACAUAUGUGUAAGUAACUGUGCACAUCUUGACGGUACCUAAUCAGAAAGCCACGGCUAACUACGUG
This 497-nucleotide ribosomal RNA is filed under the name uncultured bacterium. Its description in RNAcentral is "partial 16S ribosomal RNA". It matches the Rfam family "Bacterial small subunit ribosomal RNA", at positions 28 to 507 of the family's 1533-position model. The record is from RNAcentral.